Long non-coding RNA from Physcomitrium patens, 3997 nucleotides. RefSeq lists it as uncharacterized. Lineage: Eukaryota; Viridiplantae; Streptophyta; Bryopsida; Funariales; Funariaceae. The record is from RefSeq and is a predicted model, not a curated record.
UCCAAAUAAAUGACCCACAUCAAAGCCGUUUUUCUUAAGAAAAAAACUCGCACUCAGCCAUCAGAUAUGUGCAGCUAAGUCUUGACACAAACAUGCACGGAAAAAUGGAGUCUUUGAUCAUUUAAGGGUUUAUAUUUGCAUGUGUGGAACAAUCCAGUUUUCCGAAACUGAGUAGCAAGCAAUUGGUGGCAAAUCAACACACAGCUGAAGCAAAUCAAGCUAUCGGUUCAGGUUUUUCAUGAAUUGGGGUUGCAGAAUGAGGCUGAUCAGAACGACGUGGGUCGAAGAUGAACUUCAACCUGAAGCUUCAGAUGGCGAUGGUGGUGUUCAGACUGCGUCGCAACCGCGCGGCGCUGCAGUUAGGGUGGCGGUUUUCAUGGCGACGGUGCCCCCUGUGGAUAAUCUCUUGGCACUGAAAUCCAUGCUUGCGUUGUUGGUGGUGUUGUUGUGCCCAUACGAUUGUGUCUGUGCAUGCGGUAGUUGAACGGGAAGAUUGAUAUGUUAGAGUGUGUUGCAUGUCUCUUGGUGAACUUUCAAGGCCAAGGUCAUGGCUCCAGGACGCAGAAAGAGAGUUGCUGAUGAGUUGUUCAUGAGUUGGGAUGCUGCGUUUCAAAAUCUCCAGCAGUUUCUGUUUGAAACAUAUCCACAAUUUACAAGCAGAUUAGAAGGCGCUCAGAGCGGAACGUGAAUCAAAUCUGGGGAAGACCAUUUUUCUGACGUGUAUGAUCUGUUGAUGUUCUGACACUCGAAGCAGGAACAAGUUCUUUACGGCGUUAUUAUCUUCUGACAUUAGAUCCGUGUAGAGUUUGCUGCUGUUGCGGUUGUGUGAAUACGCUGACUGUGGUGAGGUUUAUCUUCUGGUGAUGGCUUGCAAUCUGUUGUUUCAACAUUUUGUCCAGUACCUAUUCAAUGCGACUGCUAGCAUGCUUUAAAACAUUUGAUAAGGUCAUCAUUCGGUUGACUUGUGUAUGUGUGUGUGCUUGUGUUUAUUUCGGCUUGUGUUUUCUUCACUUCAUGGUCGGCGUUUCUUCUUCGAUAGAAUGUUAGGUAGCGAUUGUGAUUAUUUUUCACUCAUGGAACUUUUGACUGAAUCGAGUCGUCUUAAAUGCUCACCAUUAAUGAGGGAUAAGUAGUUGGCUUCCAUAGGCAGUAGACGACGCCUUCGGUGAGUUGGACGAUCUUGGUUUUACACAGCGUUUGUUAAGCGUGUCUAGAUCCGCAAUAACCUCGUUGGAUUUUUUUUUUCUAUUUUUUUAAUUUUUAAUUUUUAUAAUCUUAAUAGCAUGCCCCUGUUUAUUGCAGUUCUGAAUUUCUUCGUCCGCUUGAUUGCUCAUGUAUCUGCAACAAUAAGCUUUGAGGAGUGGGGGUGCCACUCAUGUGCCAGACAUCCACUCUCUUAGAUCCUUGCAUAUGACUUCAUUGCACAUAAUAUGUGCCACCUUGAAGCUGCCAAUUGCUGGGUCUUCUGCUCGAAUCCGGGUGUUUUCUGCUGAGUACACAUCUUCUCGACAGAAUUGACUCCCUUUUCUUUUGCUGCAAUUUGAUUGUUUCUAUGUGAAAGUCGAUUUGGGUUUCUGGCAACACUUUAUGGCAGCGCAGUCCAUCCAUAUUCAUCGUUGUCCGCUAAUCUUUCCUCAGGUCCAUGAAAAAACCUACACACGUAGGUGUUGGGCCACAGCGGAGUUGCAGUGUUGUCAUAUUGAUGGGACAAUUAGGUCACCCCGUGGCGUAGAGCUGUGUAAGAGAUACAUUUGGGUUAAACUGAGUAACGUGAUCUCGCGCUUCUCUACACCUGCUGCUUCUCCUUCCCCUUUCCUAACUUCACUUCGUUCUGUAAGUAAUCGUCCUGAAGCAUAGCUCUAGCUGUGUAGAAAUUCGGCAAUUCGGCAACUCGGUAAAGCAUCACCAGUUACGACGUCUCUUUAUGGGGCUACUUAUUUGAUCAUCAACCCACAUCUGUUAUCCCUGACAUGAUGUUUCAGUCAGUUUUGUCGGCAAAAGAUCACAGGACGACGUAAAUGGCAACGCGAAGGACCUCAUCAAAGAAGUGACUGCAGCUCUGGAAAAAGAGUAGGACAUUGCGAAUUGACCUGUCGAUUACAUCACGAUCUUGUGCAAGCAUCGGUUCAAGCGUAUCGCCAAGAAAGUUUGGGUUAGAAAGAGUUCAAUGCAGGCUUUUCCUAUCUCAGUGAAAUCUUCGACUGUUCUAGAGUUUGUUUCACCGGUACAAGGCCUCUCAAGUUCAAUUAGUCAGCUUCGUGAGCUACAUCUUCGCAAGCAAGGAGAUUCAGGAUUGGAAGUGGGCAAUGAGCACUCGGAAGGUGUGAGGCCCAUUGUAAUGAUACCCUCCUUUGGCAGGUGCUUCAUCAAUUUCUGUGUUUCAAUCUGCAGCUCAACUUUCAUCUGGUGUUGAAACUGAUGCGGCAGCUUCCGGUGACCAACUCAAGCUUUUCCCCUUACAUGGACUUCAGGAGAAAAAAUUGAAUCGCCGCGGUGGUUGAAUUGAUAAAAAUGAUCAAAGCAGUUUUUGCAUUUUACCCCUGAACCGAGUCGUACACUUGAACAAAACCGCCCGUAAAAAUAGGUUAAACCACCACCUCCAUCACUAAAAACCACCGCCUUCAUCGUUCUAAAGUUCGCUGAUCAUUGGUGGACAUGGAAUCUUUCUACAUUUUUAAAAGCGGUUUUGGGUUUGUACAAGCGCGGUGUCUGACAAGGUCUACGAGUUGGUUCAAGGUAUUCCUACGUUAUUGAUAGUAUUUACCAUUUUGUACUGAAGCGGAUCUUUUAGCACUUCAAGUGAUGUCCAGCUUUCAUGUCUUGGUUAGUUUUUGCUCUUCCGUUUGUCCUAUGCAUAAUUUGACGAAUGCACUUCUGGACGUAAGGUGCAUAUCAUUUAAUUUGCAGGUCCGGUUUCUUAAAUUAAUGGCACUGGGACAUGACAUGAGACCUAUUCCCAUGAUUGUCUAGGUUGCAAAAACGCGACAUGUAAUCGAGGCCGUAGAAAAAACUUCUUUUAAAGAUCUACUAAAGUCGGAACACGUUUCUGUGUCCCGGACAACACGUUUAUUUCAGGCAAGGCAAUCUGUCCGCAUUUACUUUGAAUCCUCAGCAAAUGAACCAUGCCUCAAGUAUGCCGAUUUAUCCAGCGACUCCUCGUGCACUUGCAGCGUUUGAUUCCAUGAAAUCAUCUUGCAACCUUCUGCUUGUGUAGUCCGAGGAUCACCAGUAAUCUUUUAAAUUAGUUACCAGGCAGGGUCAGCCCUGUCUAUCUUACACUUGGCUGAUAAAGGCCAAGCAAGAAAACACAUUAGUCACAAAUGCUCACUCUGGGAAAACAAGUCGAGUCAUAAGUUGUCGAAGAUAAAAUUCACGAGGCAACCGCAAUCGGAGGAUCUGAGGUAAACUGUGCUUUUCAGGUAGAGUAAGCAGCCACAAAUAAGAGGUGUUUGCCAUUUUCUUCUCUGAAAUAGCCCCAAAAUCUUGCUAUUAAAGGGUGCGUUUUAAACCAGGGAGAUCUUUUCACAUUCUUGCUUUGCUGACAGUAUUAGUGGAUUUGUUAUGUGCAUGCAGAAUUACAGUUUUUUUUAGUGUAAACCUCAAAAUACUUCAAUGUCUUGGAAGCGUCUUAACUGUAGAGAGCAGUCAUUUACUUUGAUGCACUUUGAGCAUGGGUCAGAUCUGGAAAAGUGAUAUCGUCUGACAAUGCCCAAGUUAUUUUUAGAUCAAGGUAUCCUAUUUGACGCAGAAGUUGGUGAAGCGAAGUAGGUGAAAUCGAACUUGUAAUUUCUGAGUUUCGGAAGGGCUAGUUUCUGUGCAGAUCAUAUUUUUGUGACGCGGUAUUGUUAUGUCGACAAAAAUUAGCUUACGACUGUAAAUCCAGCUUUUGAACGGAAAACAAUCUGUUCUGCAAGGUCAGAGGGUUUCUCAUCUUUGAUGCAACAUCUCGCUAAUCAAUGCAGCACCAUGAAGUUUCUGGGUUUAGAAUUUCAAGUUC